AAGUCGUAACAAGGUAACCGUCGGUGAACCUGCGGUUAGAUCAUUAAUAAAUGAUUUGGUUUUAUACCGAAACAUUGUGUGCGAUCAUAUCUGUCUCUGGUGGUUAACCUUUUUUGUCUGGCAGGAGUAUCAUGUUUCUUUCGAAAGAGGGCUCUUACAUGAUAUCUCAUACUAGCAAAAAUUACCUUACCACCAAUUGAAUACACAAACCUUUGUAUGUUUUCUUUAAGUCUGAAUCAUUCACUUUUGUGCAAUGAAAAAACAACUUUUGACAACGGAUCUCUUGGCUCUC
Molecule: unclassified non-coding RNA, 292 nt
Filed under: fungal sp.
Lineage: Eukaryota; Fungi
Description: partial internal transcribed spacer region
Source: RNAcentral